This is a small nucleolar RNA of Bipolaris zeicola 26-R-13, 76 nucleotides long. It matches the Rfam family "A. fimigatus snoRNA Afu_298". Lineage: Eukaryota; Fungi; Ascomycota; Dothideomycetes; Pleosporales; Pleosporaceae. The record is from Rfam.
GCUAUGAUUAUCACUUUUUAACCCUGAGGUCCACUAUGAGGAUCAAAAAACGCAACACUCUAAUUUUUUAAUGAGC